AGUAACACGUAGUCAAUCUAACCUAUGGACGAGGAUAACCUCGGGAAACUGAGAAUAAUACUCGAUAGAUCAUUAUGCCUGGAACGGUUUAUGGUUCAAAUGAAUUUCGCCAUAGGAUGGGACUGCGGUCUAUCAGCUUGUUGGUGAGGUAAUGGCCCACCAAGGCUAUAACAGAUACGGGCUCUGAGAGGAGAAGCCCGGAGAUGGGUACUGAGACACGGACCCAGGCCCUACGGGGCGCAGCAGGCGAGAAAACUUUGCAAUGUGCGAAAGCACGACAAGGUUAAUCCGAGUGAUUCCUGCUAAAGGAAUCUUUUGUUAGUCAUAAUACCACUGAUGAAUAAGGGGUGGGCAAGUUCUGGUGUCAGCCGCCGCGGUAAAACCAGCACCUCAAGUGGUCAGGAGGAUUAUUGGGCCUAAAGCAUCCGUAGCCGGCUUUGUAAGUUUUCGGUUAAAUCUAUAUGCUCAACAUAUAGGCUGCCGGGAAUACUGCAAAGCUAGGGAAUGGGAGAGGUAGACGGUACUCCGUAGGAAGGGGUAAAAUCCUUUGAUCUAUGGAUGACCACCUGUGGCGAAGGCGGUCUACCAGAACACGUCCGACGGUGAGGGAUGAAAGCUGGGGGAGCAAACCGGAUUAGAUACCCGGGUAGCCCCAGCUGUAAACUAUGCAAACUCAGUGAUGCAUUGGCUUGUGGCCAGUGCAGUGCCGCAGGGAAGCCGUUAAGUUUGCCGCCUGGGAAGUACGUACGCAAGUAUGAAACUUAAAGGAAUUGGCGGGGGAGCACCACAAGGGGUGAAGCCUGCGGUUCAAUUGGAGUCAACGCCAGAAAUCUUACCCGGAGAGACAGCAGAAUGAAGGUCAAGUUGAAGACUUUACCAGACAAGCUGAGAAGUGGUGCAUGGCCGUCGCCAGCUCGUGCCGUGAGAUGUCCUGUUAAGUCAGGUAACGAGCGAGAUCCUUGCCUCUAGUUGCCACCAUUACUCUCAGGAGUAGUGGGGCGAAUUAGCGGGACUGCCGUAGUUAAUACGGAGGAAGGAGAGGGCCACGGCAGGUCAGUAUGCCCUGAAACUCUGGGGCCACACGCGGGCUGCAAUGGUAGUGACAAUGGGUUCCGAAUCCGAAAGGAGGAGGUAAUCCUCAAACGCUACCACAGUUAUGACUGA
This 1164-nucleotide ribosomal RNA is filed under the name uncultured archaeon. RNAcentral describes it as "bacterial SSU rRNA". It matches the Rfam family "Archaeal small subunit ribosomal RNA", at positions 92 to 1257 of the family's 1478-position model. The record is from RNAcentral.